CAUGCUUUAUACAUGCAAGUCGAACGCGAAAGUGUCUUCGGACAUUAGUAGAGUGGCAAACGGGUGAGUAACGCGUGGGAAUAUACCUUAUAGUACGGAAUAGCCUUGGGAAACUGGGAUUAAUACCGUAUACGCCCUGAGGGGGAAAGAUUUAUCGCUAUAAGAUUAGCCCGCGUCAGAUUAGCUAGUUGGUGGGUUAAUGGCCUACCAAGGCAACGAUCUGGAGCUGGUCUGAGAGGAUGAUCAGCCACAUUGGGAGAGAGAUACGGCACAACCCCAUGCGGGAGGCAGCAGUAGGGAAUAUUGAAAAAUGGACGAAAGUCUGAUCCAGCAAUGCCACGUGAGUGAUAAAGGCCUUAGGUUUGUAAAGCUUUUUUAGUAGGGAAGAUAAGGCCGGUACAUACAAAAAAAGCACCGGCUAAUUUCGUGCCAGCCGCCGCAGUAA
Molecule: ribosomal RNA, 445 nt
Filed under: uncultured bacterium
Lineage: Bacteria
Description: partial 16S ribosomal RNA
Rfam family: Bacterial small subunit ribosomal RNA
Source: RNAcentral